GCCUUCUACACUGGGAUAACUCCGGGAAACCGGGGCUAAUACCGGAUAUGAAACUUGGUGGCAUCACCGAGUUUGGAAAGUUUUUCGGUAGAAGAUGACCUCGCGGCCUAUCAGCUUGUUGGUGAGGUAAUGGCUCACCAAGGCGACGACGGGUAGCCGGCCUGAGAGGGCGACCGGCCACACUGGGACUGAGACACGGCCCAGACUCCUACGGGAGGCAGCAGUGGGGAAUAUUGGGCAAUGGAGGAAACUCUGACCCAGCGACGCCGCGUGCGGGAUGAAGGCCUUCGGGUUGUAAACCGCUUUCAGUAGGGAAGAAGCGAAAGUGACGGUACCUACAGAAGAAGCACCGGCUAACUAUGUGCCAGCAGCCGCGGUAAUACAUAGGGUGCAAGCGUUGUCCGGAAUUAUUGGGCGUAAAGAGCUCGUAGGUGGUUCGUUACGUCGGAUGUGAAAAUCUGGGGCUCAACCCCAGACCUGCAUCCGAUACGGUCGAGCUAGAGUUUGGUAGGGGAGACUGGAAUUCCUGGUGUAGCGGUGGAAUGCGCAGAUAUCAGGAGGAACACCAAUGGCGAAGGCAGGUCUCUGGGCCAAUACUGACACUGAGGAGCGAAAGCGUGGGGAGCGAACAGGAUUAGAUACCCUGGUAGUCCACGCCGUAAACGGUGGGCGCUAGUUGUGGGAACCUUCCACGGUUUCUGCGACGCAGCUAACGCAUUAAGCGCCCCGCCUGGGGAGUACGAUCGCAAGAUUAAAACUCAAAGGAAUUGACGGGGCCCCGCACAAGCAGCGGAGCAUGCGGCUUAAUUCGACGCAACGCGAAGAACCUUACCAAGGCUUGACAUAUACAGGAAUAUGGCAGAGAUGUCAUA
Molecule: ribosomal RNA, 872 nt
Filed under: uncultured Actinomycetes bacterium
Lineage: Bacteria; Bacillati; Actinomycetota; Actinomycetes
Description: bacterial SSU rRNA
Rfam family: Bacterial small subunit ribosomal RNA
Source: RNAcentral